Oryctolagus cuniculus (rabbit) is the source of this 3563-nucleotide non-coding RNA. The record is from RefSeq and is a predicted model, not a curated record. NCBI's taxonomy places the organism in Eukaryota, Metazoa, Chordata, Mammalia, Lagomorpha, Leporidae.
UUGUGAAGUUCAAGCGUGUUGUUUUUCUGGAUGGAUGGCCUCACUCAAGAUUACAAAGUAUUGGCCGGCCCGCACCGCGGCUCACUACGCUAAUCCUCCGCCUGCGAUGCUGGCACACCGGGUUCUAGUCCCAGUUGGGGCGCCAGUUCUGUCCAGGUUGCCCCUCUUCCAGUCCAGCUCUCUGCUGUGGCCCGGGAGUGCAGUGGAGGAUGGCCCAAGUGCUUGGGCACCUGCACCCCAUGGGAGACCAGGAGGAAGCACCUGGCUCCUGACUUCGGAUCGGCUCAGCGUGCGGGCCUUAGAGGCCUUUUGGGGGUGAAUCAACGGAAGGAAGACCUUUCUCUCUGUCUCUCUCUCUCUCUCACUGUCCACUCUGCCUGUCAAAAAAAAAAGAAAGAUUACAAAGUACCCCUGACAGGCACGGUCUCCUGCUGAUGGCAUCUUCAGGAUGAAUGGGAAUUAGGUGGUUACAGAAGAGAGAGCACCUGUGUUUUGCUUAUGAAAAACACGCAUACAGAGAGCCCUGAGGCAGGCAGUUGGCUGGGCAGGCUGGGGCAGGAGACGCCAGAGGUGAGCCGCAGCUGGUUAGGCUCAGUUCUACUAAACACAGUGUUUGAGGCAGGCAGCAGCUCCAGGCGGGAGGGCAUUGGAUACCUUCUAAAGGAGUUAGGAUUUUAUACCUUGCAACACAGUUUCAUCUAGCAUAUUCAGGGAAAUUUCAACAACUAUAUAUUCACACUUAAUCUUAGCCAAAAGGCCGAGAAGUGAUUAGCAACCAUAUAUUCAAAAGCGUUUUCUUUUGUUAAGCACGUUCGGGGAGAUGGCGAGUUAAGUAGCUAAUCCUGUUUCAUUACUGCAGAACACAGAGGUGCACGCAACUCCAAGAGAAGAGAAGGGACUGCCAUGUUUGCUGCAGACCGUGGCCACAGGAGCUUCUUCUGAACUCCUCUCUUGCUUGCAUUCCUUGGAUUUCCACUUUUUGGAAACCCCCAUUGGGCAAUGUGAUGACCACGAGGAGCCGUCCUCGGGUGCACAGCGUGUCGAUGCUUGUGAAUGUAGCCGUGGCCUGGUCAGCGAGGCCUGAUCUCUCGGGCGUUCUCCAAAGACGCCCUUCGGAGCUGCUCUGGACCUGGGCCCCUGCCUCUUGCCCUCUGUGGUGACAAAUGCCAACAAAUGCAGCUACAGAGUAACAAGUGACGGGGGAUGCCAGCUUACCAAGAAGAGGGGAGGAUUUCUCUGGAAAUCCAAGUUGGAGCCCAGGUGUUGUAUUCCAGGCAGGGCAACUGCACGUGUGAAGUCCCUGAAUUGAACCUGUUUGCAAGGUGGGCCGUGAGUGGUGGCAUAUUCCUGGUUUUGGGGAGCAAGGCAUGAACAUCUUUGGGGGGACCGUUAUUCGGCCUACCACAGCCACUACUUAGAGAACUGACCACUGCAUCUGACCGCCUGCACAUCUGUCAGAGGGAAACCGUCUGCAGCUGGCCAAGGAGUGAAUGAGAAAGCAAUCGAGUUCUGCAGAGGACGCUUUGGGGGAGUUCUGCUUUGAGUGGGAUGGGGAGAGGGAGAAGUAGGGCAGGAGUCCAGCAAAAGGAACCAGAGUGGCAGGAAAUCCUCUCCAGCCAAGAAGGGAGCUAUUUAUAAGACUAUGGACGCAUAGUGAGAAAGUGGGGGGACUGGUGUAGGGGAGGGCGUGAAGACGGAAGGGCUUUUCUGGUGGGGCCACUCCAUCAAAUACUCUAGGAGGAAAUGCCAAGGUCCACGUGCCUGAUGUUGGUGUUCAAGGUCUCAGAGAGGGGUCAGUGGUCCAUGGCGCCACUACUGGACUGUAGAAGACACGAAGAGAAGGUUGUUUGAGACUGGCGGUAAAGAAACUGAGGCGGAGCCAGUGCUAUGGCGUAAUAGGUAAAGCUGUCACCUGCAGUGCCAGCACCCCACAUCAAGUCCCGGCUGCUCCACUUCCAAUCCAGCUCUCUGCUAAUGUGCCUGGGAAAGCAGCAGAGGAUGGCCCAAGUGCUUAGGCCCCUGUACCCAUGUGGGAGACUCAGAUGAAGCUCCUGGCUCCCGGCUUCAGCCUGGCCCAGCCUCAGAUGUUGCAGCCAUUUGGGGAAUGAACCAGCAGACUGAAGAUGUCUCUCUUUCUCUCUGUCUCUCCCUCUCUCUAUAAUUCUGCCUUUCAAAUAAGUAAAUAAAUCUUCAAAAAAAGAAAAGAAAAGAAACGGAGGCACCAGGAAUUGCAAUGGUCUUUCCUGGGAAUGAUGGAGUCCCAAAGCAUGACCACAGGGUUUGGGGUGGAGAGCAGGACCGGGCCCCAGGGAGUGAGGUCUUCAGACAGCAAGGGUGACCUAAUGAGGGCAGUGUCAUGUCCAAGUCAUGUGCAUCCCAGACAGCAGAGCUGGAGGAGCAGAGCAGGUGCAGGAGGGCAGCAAGGGGCAUGCCCUGUCCCCCCGGGCUCCGUUACCUGGAGUGGGGAUGAGUACACGGCCUGGGUUUGGUGAGCCAAGUGAUUUCAGAAAAGCACCAGAUUUUAGGAGGGAGGGGAAGAGAACGUAACUGGAGGAAGUUGUGAUGUGGAGACGUGGUCAAACAGGGAUGUAGGAGCAGGCAGGGGUGUGUGUGAGCGUACAGGUGACAAUGGAUGACCAGGGCCCGGGGACCUCCAUAGUGACAGAGGCCAAGGGAGACGUGCUCAGUGGCACUUGGCCUGGUGGCUUUUCAACAGAGGACUCGCUAUGGUGGGCUGAGACCCAAGCCCUGCGCUUGUCGCCUGGGGCAGCCACACUCGCUAGGACACCGGGCACGAGUGAUGCCCUGCCAUGCCGUGUCCCAGCAGUCCCCCAGCACUUCCUGGGUGGUCCCGGGACUGGACAUCCUCCCCAGCGCUCCUGCCCUGGGCGCCUUUCCCCCUUUUCCCUGUCUUAGUCCCAGCCGUUGUUAAUGCCUGCCACAGAUGCCACCUGUUCUGUAAAACCCUGCGGUCUCUCCAACCAGAAACCACGGCUCCCGCUUCUGGAUUUACGCAAGUGGGAUUUGAAAUGGAAUGUCUGCAAACGCGUUUUCCCUGCGCAUUCCUGAGGGUGGUGGUAACUGCUGAAGGAAGCCUCUGCAUCUCAGAGGUCCCCGUACUCCCAUUCCAGGAAGGGCAAACGCUUCUUGUGUUGCCCAAGAGUUGCAGCUCUGGUUAACGGACUAUUGAGCCCCUCUUAGAAAAGAAGCAGGGAGGGCCGGCGCUGUGGCUCACUAGGCUAAUCCUCCGCCUAGCGGCGCCGGCACACCGGGUUCUAGUCCCGGUCGGGGCGCCGGAUUCUGUCCCGGUUGCCCCUCUUCCAGGCCAGCCCUCUGCUGUGGCCAGGGAGUGCAGUGGAGGAUGGCCCAGGUGCUUGGGCCCUGCACCCCAUGGGGAGACCAGGAAAAGCACCUGGCUCCUGGCUCCUGCCAUCGGAUCAGCGCGGUGCGCCGGCCGCAGCGCGCCGGCCGCGGCGGCCAUUGGAGGGUGAACCAACGGCAAAAGGAAGACCUUUCUCUCUGUCUCUCUCUCUCUCUCACUAUCCACUCUGCCUGUCAAGAAA